GAUGAACGCUGGCGGCGUGCCUAAUACAUGCAAGUCGAGCGAACAGACGAGGAGCUUGCUCCUCUGACGUUAGCGGCGGACGGGUGAGUAACACGUGGAUAACCUACCUAUAAGACUGGGAUAACUUCGGGAAACCGGAGCUAAUACCGGAUAAUAUAUUGAACCGCAUGGUUCAAUAGUGAAAGACGGUUUUGCUGUCACUUAUAGAUGGAUCCGCGCCGCAUUAGCUAGUUGGUAAGGUAACGGCUUACCAAGGCAACGAUGCGUAGCCGACCUGAGAGGGUGAUCGGCCACCCGGGAACUGAGACACGGUCCAGACCCCUACGGGGGGCAGGAGGAGGGAAUUCUCCGAAAUGGGCGAAAGCUUGACGGAGCAACGCCGCGUGGGUGAUGAAGGUUUUCGGAUCGUAAAACUUUUUUAUUAGGGAAGAAAAAAUGUGUAAGUAACUAUGCCCGUCUUGACGGUACCAAAGCAGAAAGCCACGGCUAACUACGU
This 496-nucleotide ribosomal RNA is filed under the name uncultured bacterium. RNAcentral's name for it is "partial 16S ribosomal RNA". It matches the Rfam family "Bacterial small subunit ribosomal RNA", at positions 28 to 506 of the family's 1533-position model. The record is from RNAcentral.